GGAGUCUAGCAUGUGUGCAAGUCAUUGGGUAUUAUAAAACCUAAAGGCAUAAUUAACUUAACUGAUAAAUAUGGGAUCAAUUAUAUAUAUAAUAUUAUUAUAUAUAUAUUCCAUCCCGGGGCGUUCUAUAUAGUUAUGCAUUUUAAUAUAUUUUUAUAUAUUAUAUAUGCCUCUAACUAGAGCGUACCUUGAGUAUAUAUGUUGUGACCCGAAAGAUGGUGAACUAUACCUGAUCAGGUUGAAGUCAGGGGAAACCCUGAUGGAAGACCGAAACAGUUCUGACGUGCAAAUCGAUUGUCAGAAUUGGGUAUAGGGGCGAAAGACCAAUCGAACCAUCUAGUAGCUGGUUCCCUCCGAAGUUUCCCUCAGGAUAGCUGGUGCAUUUAAAUAUUAUAUAAAAUAAUCUUAUCUGGUAAAGCGAAUGAUUAGAGGCCUUAGGGCCGAAACGACCUUAACCUAUUCUCAAACUUUAAAUGGGUAAGAACCUCACCUUUCUUGAUAUGAAGGUGUAGGUUAUGAUAUAUUGUGCCCAGUGGGCCACUUUUGGUAAGCAGAACUGGCGCUGUGGGAUGAACCAAACGUGAUGUUACGGCGCCAAAAUUAACAACUCAUACUGAUACCAUGAAAGGCGUUGCUUGCUUAAAACAGCAGGACGGUGGACAUGGAAGUCGUAAUCCGCUAAGGAGUGUGUAACAACUCACCUGCCGAAGCAACUAGCCCUUAAAAUGGAUGGCGCUCAAGUUGUAUGCCUAUACAUCACCGCUAAAGUAUAUGAUUUAUUAAUAUAUUUUUUUUUAUAAAUUUUGAAACUCUAGUGAGUAGGAGGGUACAAUGGUGUGCGUAGAAGUGUUUGGCGUAAGCCUGCAUGGAGCCGCCAUUGGUACAGAUCUUGGUGGUAGUAGCAAAUAAUCGAAUGAGACCUUGGAGGACUGAAGUGGAGAAGGGUUUCGUGUGAACAGUGGUUGAUCACGAGUUAGUCGGUCCUAAGUUCAAGGCGAAAGCCGAAAAAUUUUAAGUUAUAUUAUAUAUUAAAUAAUAUACUUAUAAUUAUAAUUGAACGAAAGGGAAUACGGUUCCAAUUCCGUAACCUGUUGAGUAUACGUUUGUAAUUAAAAAUGGGCUUUUAUGCUCAUCCUGGUAACAGAAACAACCAUAAAGAAGCCGUCGAGAAAUAUCGAAAGAGUUUUCUUUUCUGUUUUAUAGUCGUACUACCAUGGAAGUCUUUCGAAGAGAGAUAUGGUAGAUGGACUAGAAGAGCAUGGCAUUUACUGCUGUGUCGAUAUUUUCUCCUCGGACCUUGAAAAUUUAUGGUAGGGUAACGCAAACUUCUUAACAGGCCGUACCGAUAUCCGCAGCUGGUCUCCAAGGGAAGA
RNAcentral lists this ribosomal RNA (1373 nucleotides) under Saropogon fletcheri. RNAcentral's name for it is "eukaryotic LSU rRNA". It matches the Rfam family "Eukaryotic large subunit ribosomal RNA", at positions 670 to 1877 of the family's 3401-position model. Lineage: Eukaryota; Metazoa; Arthropoda; Insecta; Diptera; Asilidae. The record is from RNAcentral.